This 334-nucleotide ribosomal RNA is filed under the name uncultured bacterium. RNAcentral's name for it is "bacterial SSU rRNA". It matches the Rfam family "Bacterial small subunit ribosomal RNA", at positions 464 to 793 of the family's 1533-position model. The record is from RNAcentral.
AUUAUUUGACGUUACCUACAGAAGAAGCACCGGCUAACUCCGUGCCAGCAGCCGCGGUAAUACGGAGGGUGCGAGCGUUAAUCGGAAUUACUGGGCGUAAAGCGCAUGCAGGCGGCCUGUUAAGUCAGAUGUGAAAGACCCGGGGCGUUAACCUCGGAAUUGCAUUUGAAACUGGCAGGCUAGAGUCUUGUAGAGGGGGGUAGGAAGUUUCAGGUGUAGCGGUGAAAUGCGUAGAGAUCUGAAGGAAUACCGGUGGCGAAGGCGGCCCCCUCGGACAGAUACUGACACUCAGAUGCGAAAGCGUGGGGAGCAAACAGGAUUAGAUACCUGGUAG